Molecule: ribosomal RNA, 274 nt
Filed under: uncultured bacterium
Lineage: Bacteria
Description: partial 16S ribosomal RNA
Rfam family: Bacterial small subunit ribosomal RNA
Source: RNAcentral
AUACGAACCGUACGAACGUUAUUCGGAAUCACUGGGCUUAAAGAGUGCGUAGGCGGCUUGGAAAGUUGGGUGUGAAAUCCCUCGGCUCAACCGAGGAAUUGCGCCCAAAACUGUCAAGCUUGAGGGAGAUAGAGGUAAGCGGAACUAAUGGUGGAGCGGUGAAAUGCGUUGAUAUCAUUAGGAACACCUGAGGCGAAAGCAGCUUACUGGGUCUCUUCUGACGCUGAGGCACGAAAGCUAGGGGAGCGAACGGGAUUAGAAACCCUAGUAGUCC